Lynx canadensis (Canada lynx) is the source of this 747-nucleotide long non-coding RNA. RefSeq lists it as uncharacterized. The record is from RefSeq and is a predicted model, not a curated record. NCBI's taxonomy places the organism in Eukaryota, Metazoa, Chordata, Mammalia, Carnivora, Felidae. The transcript is spliced from 3 exons.
CACAAGUAAACUACUAAGACCAGUUAAAAGCGACCCCCUGAUAGCUUGCUCAUUCACAUCUAGGUGAUUACAACAAUGUUACUCACCAUGAUGAAAUAUUGUCCCUAAAAUAAUCAGAAGCAUUUGAUUUCAUUUUCUUUCUUUUCACUUUUAAGGCAUCAAUCAAGUUUUUAAUACUUUAACAUGAUGUUUUAAACAAAAUUAGAUGCUUGAAAGUUGUAGCAAUGUAAAGCCUGAGGAAUCUACUUUUAAACGAGGAAAUUUUAAUGAGAGAGGAAGAACUGAGGGAAAGUUUUCAUCAUAGCUAAGUUUGAGCAAUUUAACCCAAUGUCAUAUGUAUGAAGUCCAAUUUUCAAUUCACAAAUAAACCUCCCCCUCCCUUCCUUCAAAAACUUCCACCCUAGGCUAAUUGCAAAAGAAGAAAACGGAACAUGAGCUCCAGCCAGAAAAGAUUCACAGCUGCCACUCUUUAGUUGCUACUUUAAUGGAAAACACAUGUGCAAGAUACCACCCAGGAGACAACUGUGCUCUGACAAAAGGAACGUCACCAGAAAAUGAGCCACCUCUUUGGGCCUUGGUGAUUGGCACGAUCUCGGAGAACAGACAGAUCUAGAGAGCCCUCUUUUAGAACUCUGUGCCAAGAUGACCAUCUACAAAGAUCUUUGGAGACCAAUAAAUCAUUAGGCUAAUUUGGAAACCCACAGAAGAGGUUUUAUUUUAAUUAUGCUUGACCCCAGAUAAAAAUAA